UACGUAUGGCGCAAGCGUUAUCCGGAUUUACUGGGUGUAAAGGGAGCGUAGGCGGCGCGUUAAGUCUGAUGUGAAAACCCGAGGCUCAACCACGGGAGUGCAUUGGAAACUGGCGGGCUGGAGUGCCGGAGAGGUAAGCGGAAUUCCUAGUGUAGCGGUGAAAUGCGUAGAUAUUAGGAGGAACACCAGUGGCGAAGGCGGCUUACUGGACGGCAACUGACGCUGAGGCUCGAAAGCGUGGGGAGCAAACAGG
Molecule: ribosomal RNA, 253 nt
Filed under: uncultured bacterium
Lineage: Bacteria
Description: partial 16S ribosomal RNA
Rfam family: Bacterial small subunit ribosomal RNA
Source: RNAcentral